GAUGAACGCUGGCGGCGUGCCUAAUACAUGCAAGUCGUGCGAACAGACGAGGAGCUUGCUCCUCUGACGUUAGCGGCGGACGGGUGAGUAACACGUGGAUAACCUACCUAUAAGACUGGGAUAACUUCGGGAAACCGGAGCUAAUACCGGAUAAUAUAUUGAACCGCAUGGUUCCAUAGUGAAAGACGGUUUUGCUGUCACUUAUAGAUGGAUCCGCGCCGCAUUAGCUAGUUGGUAAGGUAACGGCUUACCAAGACGACGAUGCGUAGCCGACCCCAGAGGGUGAUCGGCUACACGGGAACUGAGACACGGCCCAGACUCCGACGGGAGGAAGCAGUCGGGAAUCUUACGCAAUGGGGGAAAGCCGGACGGAGCAAAGCCGCGUGAGUGAUGAAGGUCUUCGGAUCGUAAAACUCUGUUAUUAGGGAAGAACAAAUGUGUAAGUAACUAUGCACGUCUUGACGGUACCUAAUCAGAAAGCCACGGCUAACUACGUG
RNAcentral lists this ribosomal RNA (497 nucleotides) under uncultured bacterium. RNAcentral's name for it is "partial 16S ribosomal RNA". It matches the Rfam family "Bacterial small subunit ribosomal RNA", at positions 28 to 507 of the family's 1533-position model. The record is from RNAcentral.